Molecule: long non-coding RNA, 653 nt
Organism: Carassius auratus (goldfish)
Lineage: Eukaryota; Metazoa; Chordata; Actinopteri; Cypriniformes; Cyprinidae
Exons: 3
Source: RefSeq, a predicted model, not a curated record
UCCCAUGCCCCUGCCCCGGCCCCAGCCUACUGCACCUGUGGAAGCAAGAGUUGCAACACAAUUUUCAAUGGUAAGAAUUACUAUUUAACUUUUUUAAUAAUACCACUUAAGAAUGUGCUCAAUUAAAAUUCAAGAAAGUUCAGAACGUAAGAUGAAGAAAAAAAGAAAAAGCAAGAAUGCUAUGAGAUGCUGGCUGAGACCUACUAAUUGUCACCCCUCUUGUACAGUGGGGGCACCUGUUGUCUGCUGAAUGGUCAGUUUGAAUAUCUCAGAUUUGGUUUAAGUCACAUGGUCAAGGAUAAAUGUAGAAUGUAACCUGUUUGCUUUCUCUCUUGAGACUAGACUCAUGUCCCUCAUGGCAUCCCUCUCAAUACUUCUCAUGUGUUAAAGCUACAUUAUCUUUCUUUCUCAAUCUCAGAUUUACUGGCUCUCACAUUGCUGCAGCAAAGCCAAAUCUUAGUGUGGUCAGGAGACCUUCUCAGGUUGAAGACCAACCCAGCGCAGCAGUGUCUUGUGCCUCUAUACCAAGCAGUACUGUCUCUGGUGUGCCAGUGUUCCAGGGUCUACAAAUGGUUCAAAGACUGUCAGCGGUCCAUAGGAUGCCACUGUUACAGCCUAUUUUGCAGAGCACCAAUUCACAACCAGCUCCACAA